GAUUGAGUUAGAGGCGCAACUUUGAUGAGUAGCGGUUGGGUUGUAUGAUGGUACAAAGCCCCAACAUGUGAAAGGUAAAGUUGCCGAAACGGAAAUGGACCAUCGCCAUUUCUCGUUGGGCUAGUGUUCGAAAGGCGCUAGACUGUCACAAAUGUGAUGUGCUACCGAUUCA
This 172-nucleotide non-coding RNA is filed under the name Staphylococcus pseudintermedius. Its description in RNAcentral is "Lysine sequence". It matches the Rfam family "Lysine riboswitch aptamer". Rfam says of the family: Riboswitches are metabolite binding domains within certain messenger RNAs that serve as precision sensors for their corresponding targets. The record is from RNAcentral. Lineage: Bacteria; Bacillati; Bacillota; Bacilli; Caryophanales; Staphylococcaceae.